RNAcentral lists this ribosomal RNA (492 nucleotides) under uncultured bacterium. RNAcentral's name for it is "partial 16S ribosomal RNA". It matches the Rfam family "Bacterial small subunit ribosomal RNA", at positions 29 to 507 of the family's 1533-position model. The record is from RNAcentral.
AGUGAACGCUGGCGGUGGGCCUAACACAUGCAAGUCGAACGGAACCCCAGAAAGAGUUCGUCUUUAGGGGGGCUGGGGGCGGGCUGGGGGAGGAAUAAAUCGGAACUAAUUUUUCUGUGGGGGACAAGGAAGGAAAACUUAGCCAAUACCGCCAAACGCCCAAAGGGUGAAGCAGGGGGAUCUCCGGACUUGGCCAACUUGAUUGGCCCAAUGUCGGAUUGCUUAGUUGGCGGGGUAAAGGCCCACCAAGGCGUCGAUCCGUAGCUGGUCUGAGAGGAUGAUCAGCCACACUGGAACUGAGACACGGUCCAGACUCCUACGGGAGGCAGCAGUGGGGAAUAUUGGACGAUGGGCGAAAGCCUGAUCCAGCCAUACCGCGUGGGUGAAGAAGGCCUUCGGGUUGUAAAGCCCUUUUGUUGGGAAAGAAAAGCAGCAGGUUAAUACCCCGCUGUUCUGACGGUACCCAAAGAAUAAGCACCGGCUAACUUCGUG